CAGGGGGUGCAAACGUUGCUCGGAAUUAUUGGGCGUAAAGCGCGCGUAGGCGGCUACUUAAGUCGGAUGUGAAAGCCCCUGGCUUAACUGGGGAAGUGCACCCGAAACUGAGUAGCUAGAGUGCGAAAGAGGGUCGCGGAAUUCCCGGUGUAGAGGUGAAAUUCGUAGAUAUCGGGAGGAACACCGGUGGCGAAGGCGGCGACCUGGGUCGACACUGACGCUGAGGCGCGAAAGCGUGGGGAGCAAACAGGAUUAGAUACCCUGGUAGUCCACGCCGUAAACGAUGGGUGCUAGAUGUUUCUGGUAUUGACCCCGGAGGCGUCGCAGCUAACGCGUUAAGCACCCCGCCUGGGGAGUACGGCCGCAAGGCUA
This 372-nucleotide ribosomal RNA is filed under the name uncultured organism. RNAcentral's name for it is "bacterial SSU rRNA". It matches the Rfam family "Bacterial small subunit ribosomal RNA", at positions 526 to 896 of the family's 1533-position model. The record is from RNAcentral.